AGACGGUAUUUCAGGAGGAAGCCCCGGCUAACUACGUGCCAGCAGCCGCGGUAAUACGUAGGGGGCAAGCGUUGUCCGGAAUGAUUGGGCGUAAAGGGCGCGUAGGCGGCCUGUUAAGUCAGAAGUGAAAGUCCUGCUUUCAAGGUGGGAAUUGCUUUUGAUACUGAUGGGCUUGAGUGCAGGAGAGGUUAGUGGAAUUCCCAGUGUAGCGGUGAAAUGCGUAGAGAUUGGGAGGAACACCAGUGGCGAAGGCGACUAACUGGACUGUAACUGACGCUGAGGCGCGAAAGUGUGGGGAGCAAACAGGAUUAGAUACCCUG
Molecule: ribosomal RNA, 320 nt
Filed under: uncultured bacterium
Lineage: Bacteria
Description: bacterial SSU rRNA
Rfam family: Bacterial small subunit ribosomal RNA
Source: RNAcentral